CAGUCGCCGGUAAUACAGAGGGUGCAAGCGUUAAUCGGAAUUACUGGGCGUAAAGCGCGCGUAGGUGGUUUGUUAAGUUGGAUGUGAAAGCCCCGGGCUCAACCUGGGAACUGCAUCCAAAACUGGCAAGCUAGAGUACGGUAGAGGGUGGUGGAAUUUCCUGUGUAGCGGUGAAAUGCGUAGAUAUAGGAAGGAACACCAGUGGCGAAGGCGACCACCUGGACUGAUACUGACACUGAGGUGCGAAAGCGUGGGGAGCAAACAGGAUUAGAUACCCGGGUAGUCCCUGUCUCUUAUACAC
This 301-nucleotide ribosomal RNA is filed under the name uncultured bacterium. RNAcentral describes it as "partial 16S ribosomal RNA". It matches the Rfam family "Bacterial small subunit ribosomal RNA", at positions 512 to 809 of the family's 1533-position model. The record is from RNAcentral.